UACAGAGGGUGCGAGCGUUAAUCGGAUUUACUGGGCGUAAAGCGUGCGUAGGCGGCUUAUUAAGUCGGAUGUGAAAUCCCCGAGCUUAACUUGGGAAUUGCAUUCGAUACUGGUGAGCUAGAGUAUGGGAGAGGAUGGUAGAAUUCCAGGUGUAGCGGUGAAAUGCGUAGAGAUCUGGAGGAAUACCGAUGGCGAAGGCAGCCAUCUGGCCUAAUACUGACGCUGAGGUACGAAAGCAUGGGGAGCAAAC
This 250-nucleotide ribosomal RNA is filed under the name uncultured bacterium. RNAcentral describes it as "partial 16S ribosomal RNA". It matches the Rfam family "Bacterial small subunit ribosomal RNA", at positions 524 to 773 of the family's 1533-position model. The record is from RNAcentral.